CAUCUUGGGCCCACAGUAACAGCACCAGUCUGCUUAUUCACACCUACCAGCUUUGUAUAUCAUCUCAUGGCAAAUCAGCUGAUUUCAUCAAGUUGUCAUCUCAGCUUAUACCAAUGCCCAGUAAUGUUUUUGCAUGCAUAAAAUAUACCUGAGUAAAGUGAUGUUCAUUGGUGAUUGGAGAUACCAGAGAAAAACAAUGCAAAAUCCCUAGUCCAGCCCAAUCUGAGACCAGAGGAGCCUCAGGCUCUUUCAGAAGCCAUCAUGUCACAGAGCAAUCAUACAAAGGAAACACAACCAGAAAGAGCAACAUCAAAACACAGUUCACAGGAAUUACUAGGAACACCUCAGAAGAGAACUACAAAUGACUUGGAAAUUGUGGCUUUACAGAGUGAUGAGAAUAAUAACUUCAAGUGUCCAAUUUGCUUAGAUACACUAAGGAACACCAGGAUUACAAAGUCCUGUUUCCACCGAUUUUGUAAGGACUGCAUCAUCACAGCUCUUAGGUUAGGAAACAAGGAAUGCCCUGUCUGCAGGAGAAAACUAAUUUCAAAAAGGUCAUUAGAUCCAGACCCUCAAUUGGAUGAACUAAUCAGCAAAAUGUUUCCAGUUUGUAAGGAAAAGAAUUCUUCUAGAAAGAAACAAUUAGGCAAAAGGAAAUAUAAAACCCAACCAGCUUGUAGUCUUAUUAUCAAAAGAGGACAGGAGAUAAUGACCACAAACAGUGUCCAACACAGAGAAGAGCAGCCAAUUAGAACUACUAGUGGAUUGGAAAGUAAUAAUGACAGUUUACCCUCCUGCAGUAAUACAUCCACACAUAGCAGUGACCAAGCAGGUCCCAGUAACAAAAGAGCCAAAACAUCUGAGUUUGAACAUGAUAGCAAGCAUGCAAUAGUGACCUAUGAUUCUGUGACUGAUGGCACUAGUGAACUUGAGACCAGAGGAGAAGAUGACCCUGCAUAUACAGAAUUACCAAAGACCUCAGGUGGAAAUGCAAAACAAGACAUUUGAAAGCCAGUUUAGAACUUGUGUGAUUAUUUGCCAUCCUAAGCAACAUGUAACCAGCAUCUGCUUCCUGUACCACCAUCCUGGAUAACUUGGUAACCAUGUUUUCCUCGUGAUGGUUGACUACAUAGUGAGAACUCUGAAAGGAAAUAAAUGCAUUCAACCUCA
This 1170-nucleotide long non-coding RNA is filed under the name Rattus norvegicus (Norway rat). RNAcentral describes it as "long non-coding RNA NONRATT033892". Lineage: Eukaryota; Metazoa; Chordata; Mammalia; Rodentia; Muridae. The record is from RNAcentral.